GAAGGAUCAUUAUUGAAUGAACUUGGUGUGGUUGUUGCUGGCCCUCUCGGGGGCAUGUGCACACCCGCCAUCCUCAUCUCUCCACCUGUGCACCUCUUGUAGACCUGGAUAGACUUUCUGAGGCAACUCAGUCGGGAAGAUUGCUGCGCUCUGUGAGCCAGCUUUCUUUGCAUGUCCAGGCCUAUGUUUUUCAUAUACCCCUAUAGAAUGUAACAGAAUGUAUCAUUGGGCCUUGUGCCUAUAAACCUUAUACAACUUUCAGCAACGGAUCUCUUGGCUCUCGCAUCGAUGAAGAACGCAGCGAAAUGCGAUAAGUAAUGUGAAUUGCAGAAUUCAGUGAAUCAUCGAAUCUUUGAACGCACCUUGCGCUCCUUGGUAUUCCGAGGAGCAUGCCUGUUUGAGUGUCAUUAAAUUCUCAACCUUAUUAACUUUUGUUGAUAAUGGAUUGGAUGUGGGGGUUUCUUUUGCUGGCUUCUUCACAGAUAUCAGCUCCCCUUAAAUGCAUUAGCUGGUGCCCCGCGUGGACCAUCUAUUGGUGUGAUAAUUAUCUACGCCGUGGAUGUCUGCAAUCAUAUGGGUUUUGCACUGCUUCUAACCGUCUGUUCAUUCAGACAAUACAUGA
This 622-nucleotide small RNA is filed under the name uncultured fungus. Its description in RNAcentral is "eukaryotic LSU rRNA". The stretch from base 254 to 407 matches the Rfam family "5.8S ribosomal RNA". Lineage: Eukaryota; Fungi. The record is from RNAcentral.